Molecule: long non-coding RNA, 296 nt
Organism: Sinocyclocheilus grahami
Lineage: Eukaryota; Metazoa; Chordata; Actinopteri; Cypriniformes; Cyprinidae
Exons: 3
Source: RefSeq, a predicted model, not a curated record
CCGGAUUUUCAUCAUUUGGUCUAUUUGCACAGUUCUCUCUGCACAUGCAUCUGACUCGGACACAUGAUUUCCCUGUUGCCAAAGGAAGUUUUGAGGUUCGCGUGGUGUGAAUUGAAGACGUUUUCCUGAAGUGUUUCCAAUGAUUUGCACAGUUCCCUCUGCACAUGCAUGUGACUCGGACACAUAUGCUUUCCCUGUUGCCAAAGGAAGUUUCCAGGUUUGCGUGGUGUGAAUUGAAGUCAUUUUCCUGAAGUGUUUCGAGUGAUUUGCACAGUAAGUAUUUUUAUAUUAUGCAU